UGGGGAAUAUUGGGCAAUGGAGGGAACUCUGACCCAGCGACGCCGCGUGCGGGAUGAAGGCCUUCGGGUUGUAAACCGCUUUCAGCAGGGAAGAAGCGAAAGUGACGGUACCUGCAGAAGAAGCACCGGCUAACUAUGUGCCAGCAGCCGCGGUAAUACAUAGGGUGCAAGCGUUGUCCGGAAUUAUUGGGCGUAAAGAGCUCGUAGGUGGUUCGUCACGUCGGAUGUGAAAAUCUGGGGCUUAACCCCAGACCUGCAUUCGAUACGGGCGAGCUGGAGUGUGGUAGGGGAGACUGGAAUUCCUGGUGUAGCGGUGGAAUGCGCAGAUAUCAGGAGGAACACCAAUGGCGAAGGCAGGUCUCUGGGCCAUUACUGACACUGAGGAGCGAAAGCGUGGGGAGCGAACAGGAUUAGAUACCCUGGUAGUCCACGCCGUAAACGGUGGGCACUAGUUGUGGGAACCUUCCACGGUUUCUGCGACGCAGCUAACGCAUUAAGUGCCCCGCCUGGGGAGUACGAUCGCAAGAUUA
Molecule: ribosomal RNA, 530 nt
Filed under: uncultured prokaryote
Description: bacterial SSU rRNA
Rfam family: Bacterial small subunit ribosomal RNA
Source: RNAcentral